UUCUGAAGUUCUUACUUCCAAUCACCUAUUAUAAAGAGUGAUCAAUCAUUAUUGGUACUUUUUAUAAUAUGUGAUUUUUUCUUUAUUGCAAAACGCAUAUUAAUUUUUGAAACAUUGGAGGAUCCAUCCCUAUGAAAACAGGUACAGUGAAGUGGUUUAACGCGGAAAAAGGUUUUGGUUUUAUUGAGGUUGAAGGCGAAGAUGAUGUAUUUGUACAUUUCAGCGCCAUCAAUGAAGAAGGCUUCAAAUCUCUAGAAGAAGGUCAGGCCGUAGAGUUUGAAGUGACUGAAGGAAAUCGCGGACCACAAGCUGCAAACGUCACGAAACUAUAAUAAAAAAUAGAAAGAGACUGGCUUUAGAAGGUCAGUCUCUUUU
This 375-nucleotide unclassified non-coding RNA is filed under the name Halobacillus karajensis. RNAcentral describes it as "cspA". The record is from RNAcentral. Lineage: Bacteria; Bacillati; Bacillota; Bacilli; Caryophanales; Bacillaceae.